GACGAACGCUGGCGGCGUGCUUAACACAUGCAAGUCGAACGGAAAGGCCCUGCUUUUGUGGGGUGCUCGAGUGGCGAACAGGUGAGUAACACGUGAGUAACCUGCCCUUGACUUUGGGAUAACUUCAGGAAACUGGGGCUAAUACCGGAUAGGAGCUCCUGCUGCAUGGUGGGGGUUGGAAAGUUUCGGCGGUUGGGGAUGGACUCGCGGCUUAUCAGCUUGUUGGUGGGGUAGUGGCUUACCAAGGCUUUGACGGGUAGCCGGCCUGAGAGGGUGGCCGGCCACAUUGGGACUGAGAUACGGCCCAGACUCCUACGGGAGGCAGCAGUGGGGAAUAUUGCACAAUGGGCGGAAGCCUGAUGCAGCAACGCCGCGUGCGGGAUGACGGCCUUCGGGUUGUAAACCGCUUUCGCCUGUGACGAAGCGUGAGUGACGGUAAUGGGUAAAGAAGCACCGGCUAACUACGUG
This 468-nucleotide ribosomal RNA is filed under the name uncultured bacterium. Its description in RNAcentral is "partial 16S ribosomal RNA". It matches the Rfam family "Bacterial small subunit ribosomal RNA", at positions 28 to 507 of the family's 1533-position model. The record is from RNAcentral.